AUAUUACAUGUUGUGGUUUCAGAC
Molecule: non-coding RNA, 24 nt
Filed under: Arabidopsis thaliana (thale cress)
Lineage: Eukaryota; Viridiplantae; Streptophyta; Magnoliopsida; Brassicales; Brassicaceae
Source: RNAcentral